GGUUAAGCGACUAAGCGUACACGGUGGAUGCCACGGCAGUCAGAGGCGAUGAAGGGCGUGCUAAUCUGCGAUAAGCGCCGGUAAGGUGAUAUGAACCGUUAUAACCGGCGAUACCCGAAUGGGGAAACCCAGUGUGACUCGUCACACUAUCAUUAACUGAAUCCAUAGGUUAAUGAGGCGAACCGGGGAACUGAAACAUCUAAGUACCCCGAGGAAAAGAAAUCAACCGAGAUUCCCCAGUAGCGGCGAGCGAACGGGGAGGAGCCCAGAGCCUGAAUCAGCAUGUGUGUUAGUGGAAGCGUCUGGAAAGGCGCGCGAUACAGGGUGACAGCCCCGUACACAAAAGCGCAUGUGCUGUGAGCUCGAUGAGUAGGGCGGGACACGUGGUAUCCUGUCUGAAUAUGGGGGACCAUCCUCCAAGGCUAAAUACUCCUGACUGACCGAUAGUGAACCAGUACCGUGAGGGAAAGGCGAAAAGAACCCCGGCGAGGGAGUGAAAAAGAACCUGAAACCGUGUACGUACAAGCAGUGGGAGCACAGGUUUACCUGUGUGACUGCGUACCUUUGUAUAAUGGGUCAGCGACUUAUAUUCUGUAGCAAGGUUAACCGAAUAGGGAGCCGGAGGAAACCGAGUCUUAAUUGGGCGUUAAGUUGCAGGGUAUAGACCCGAAACCCGGUGAUCUAGCCAUGGGCAGGUUGAAGGUUGGGUAACACUAACUGGAGGACCGAACCGACUAAUGUUGAAAAAUUAGCGGAUGACCUGUGGCUGGGGUGAAAGGCCAAUCAAACCGGGAGAUAGCUGGUUCUCCCCGAAAGCUAUUUAGGUAGCGCCUCGUGAACUCAUCUCCGGGGUAGAGCACUGUUUCGGCUAGGGGCCAUCCCGGCUUACCAACCCGAUGCAAACUGCGAAUACCGGAGAAUGUUAUCACGGGAGACACACGGCGGGUGCUAACGUCCGUCGUGAAGAGGAAACAACCCAGACCGCCAGCUAAGGUCCCAAAGUCAUGGUUAAGUGGGAAACGAUGUGGGAAGGCCCAGACAGCGGGAUGUUGGCUUAGAAGCAGCCAUCAUUUAAAGAAAGCGUAAUAGCUCACUGGUCGAGUCGGCCUGCGCGGAAGAUGUAACGGGGCUAAACCAUGCACCGAAGCUGCGGCAGCGACACUCAGGUGUUGUUGGGUAGGGGAGCGUUCUGUAAGCCUGUGAAGGUGUGUCGUGAGGCAUGCUGGAGGUAUCAGAAGUGCGAAUGCUGACAUAAGUAACGAUAAAGCGGGUGAAAAGCCCGCUCGCCGGAAGACCAAGGGUUCCUGUCCAACGUUAAUCGGGGCAGGGUGAGUCGACCCUAAGGCGAGGCCGAAAGGCGUAGUCGAUGGGAAACGGGUUAAUAUUCCCGUACUUGGUGUUACUGCGAAGGGGGACGGAGAAGGCUAUGUUGGCCGGGCGACGGUUGUCCCGGUUUAAGCGUGUAGGUGUGUGUUCGGUAAAUCCGGUUCACUUUAACACUGAGGCGUGAUGACGAGGCACUACGGUGCUGAAGCAACAAAUGCCCUGCUUCCGGGAAAAGCCUCUAAGCAUCAGGUAACAUCAAAUCGUACCCCAAACCGACACAGGUGGUCAGGUAGAGAAUACCAAGGCGCUUGAGAGAACUCGGGUGAAGGAACUAGGCAAAAUGGUGCCGUAACUUCGGGAGAAGGCACGCUGACACGUAGGUGAAGUGAUUUACUCACGGAGCUGAAGUCAGUCGAAGAUACCAGCUGGCUGCAACUGUUUAUUAAAAACACAGCACUGUGCAAACACGAAAGUGGACGUAUACGGUGUGACGCCUGCCCGGUGCCGGAAGGUUAAUUGAUGGGGUCAGCGCAAGCGAAGCUCCUGAUCGAAGCCCCGGUAAACGGCGGCCGUAACUAUAACGGUCCUAAGGUAGCGAAAUUCCUUGUCGGGUAAGUUCCGACCUGCACGAAUGGCGUAAUGAUGGCGGGCUGUCUCCACCCGAGACUCAGUGAAAUUGAACUCGCUGUGAAGAUGCAGUGUACCCGCGGCAAGACGGAAAGACCCCGUGAACCUUUACUAUAGCUUGACACUGAACAUUGAGCCUUGAUGUGUAGGAUAGGUGGGAGGCUUUGAAGUGUGGACGCCAGUCUGCAUGGAGCCGACCUUGAAAUACCACCCUUUAAUGUUUGAUGUUCUAACGUGGACCCGUUACCCGGGUUGCGGACAGUGUCUGGUGGGUAGUUUGACUGGGGCGGUCUCCUCCUAAAGAGUAACGGAGGAGCACGAAGGUUGGCUAAUCUGGUCGGACAUCAGGAGGUUAGUGCAAUGGCAUAAGCCAGCUUGACUGCGAGCGUGACGGCGCGAGCAGGUGCGAAAGCAGGUCAUAGUGAUCCGGUGGUUCUGAAUGGAAGGGCCAUCGCUCAACGGAUAAAAGGUACUCCGGGGAUAACAGGCUGAUACCGCCCAAGAGUUCAUAUCGACGGCGGUGUUUGGCACCUCGAUGUCGGCUCAUCACAUCCUGGGGCUGAAGUAGGUCCCAAGGGUAUGGCUGUUCGCCAUUUAAAGUGGUACGCGAGCUGGGUUUAGAACGUCGUGAGACAGUUCGGUCCCUAUCUGCCGUGGGCGCUGGAGAACUGAGGGGGCUGCUCCUAGUACGAGAGGACCGGAGUGGACGCAUCACUGGUGUUCGGGUUGUCAUGCCAAUGGCACUGCCCGGUAGCUAAAUGCGGAAGAGAUAAGUGCUGAAAGCAUCUAAGCACGAAACUUGCCCCGAGAUGAGUUCUCCCUGAGACUUAGAGUCUCCUGAAGGAACGUUGAAGACGACGACGUUGAUAGGCCGGGUGUGUAAGCGCAGCGAUGCGUUGAGCUAACCGGUACUAAUGAACCGUGAGGCUUAACCUU
RNAcentral lists this ribosomal RNA (2889 nucleotides) under Salmonella enterica subsp. enterica serovar Worthington. Its description in RNAcentral is "23S ribosomal RNA". It matches the Rfam family "Bacterial large subunit ribosomal RNA". Lineage: Bacteria; Pseudomonadati; Pseudomonadota; Gammaproteobacteria; Enterobacterales; Enterobacteriaceae. The record is from RNAcentral.